GACUGACGGUUCACCGCCCGGUGCAUACUGUCACGCUCCGAACAGCCACAACAGCCCGCUGGCUCGCACGGGGUGCUCUUCAUCGAGUGUCCCGCGUGGCCGGCAGAGUUUACUUUGAAAAAAUUAGAGUGCUCAAAGCAGGCUACACUGACGGCCUGAAUGCCUAUGCAUGGAAUAAUGGAAUAGGACCUCGGUUCUAUUUUGUCGGUUUUCUGAACCCGAGGUAAUGACUAAUAGGAACAGGCGGGGGCAUUCGUAUUGCGACGCUAGAGGUGAAAUUCUUGGACCGUCGCAAGACGAACUACUGCGAAAGCAUUUGCCAAGGAUGUUUUCAUUAAUCAAGAACGAAAGUUAGAGGUUCGAAGGCGAUCAGAUACCGCCCUAGUUCUAACCAUAAACGAUGCUGACCAGCGAUCCGCCGGCGUUAUUCCCAUGACCCGGCGGGCAGCUUCCGGGAAACCAAAGUCUUUGGGUUCCGGGGGAAGUAUGGUUGCAAAGCUGAAACUUAAAGGAAUUGACGGAAGGGCACCACCAGGAGUGGAGCCUGCGGCUUAAUUUGACUCAACACGGGGAACCUCACCAGGCCCAGACACCGGAAGGAUUGACAGAUUGAGAGCUCUUUCUCGAUUC
This 630-nucleotide ribosomal RNA is filed under the name Glebocarcinus oregonensis. RNAcentral's name for it is "SSU rRNA". It matches the Rfam family "Eukaryotic small subunit ribosomal RNA", at positions 717 to 1268 of the family's 1831-position model. The record is from RNAcentral. Lineage: Eukaryota; Metazoa; Arthropoda; Malacostraca; Decapoda; Cancridae.